RNA transcript from Patella vulgata (common limpet), 13034 nucleotides. It is a transcript of the gene named transcription factor E2F4, with no coding region annotated. NCBI's taxonomy places the organism in Eukaryota, Metazoa, Mollusca, Gastropoda, Patellidae. The transcript is spliced from 9 exons. The record is from RefSeq and is a predicted model, not a curated record.
GUAUGUGUCCCAACCCCCAGGGGCAGUGUCACACCCACUUUUUUGUUAAUAUUUUGUCUGUAAAUUUGGCAAAACAAAUGCCUAGCCUUUUUUGACUCUUGUCAUAUUACACUAAUUACAGCCAUUUCAUAUUUCAUUCUCUUCAUUUUAAAAAGUACCAUUUCAAUCCAAGCUAGAAUGUGGACGUAAACUGAAGCGUUAGCGAUGCUCUUGUUAAAUUUGCUAAUCAAAUUUGGUAAAAUUGGACUUUUUGAUUAGCAUUGCUGCAAAUAAACUGUGAAAAUUUACUGACAGCUCUGGUAUAUGGUCACCAACUUACUGUAUCCAUUAUUCUAUACUUUUCAUGUGGAUAUAUGGUUAACUGUCACCAAUCCCCAAGUAAACAAAGGUUAUAUAACCAAUUAUGAUAUCUGUCUUCCUGGUGAAUGUGAACCUUCUUGCUCAACUAAAUUUAGAGGCAUGGUAUACUGUCGGAGCUUAUCGUGGGUGAAAAACACUCAAAAGUCAGUGCAAUAAUUUGCAGCAGAUCAACUGGCAGUCAGACAAAAAAGAAGAAUUUAUGAUAUUACUAAUGUACUGGAAGGCAUAGGACUUAUUGAGAAAAAAUCAAAAAAUAGUAUACAAUGGAAGGGUGCUGGACCUGGUUGUAAUACAAGAGAAAUAUCUGACAAGUUGAUUAACCUUAAAACAGACCUUGAAGAUUUAGACAGAAGAGAAAAAGAAAUUGAUCAACAUAAAUUGUGGGUUCAACAAAGUAUCAAAAAUGUUACAGACGAAGUUACAAACACUCGUUUAGCAUAUGUUACACAUGAAGAUACAUGUAAAUGUUUUAGCGGUGAUACGUUGAUCGCUGUCCAAGCACCUUCUGGUACACAGUUAGAAGUUCCUAUACCAGCUAUAGGGCCUGGUUUUAAAAAGAACUACCAAAUUCACUUAAAAAGUCAUUCAGGUGCUAUCAAUGUAUUAUUGGUUAAUAAAGAUACAGAAGCUGCUACACCUGUUGUUGUACAAGUACCUCCACCGUCAGAUGAUCUUGUUAAUACAUCAGAGAAUCAAAAUGUUAAUCCUCAUCCUUGUUCUACAGCAGCUAAAGUUGGCAAAACAGGAAAGAAAACUGGAGUAAAAUCUCCAUUAAAAACCAGUCAGCCAACAUCAAUAGAUACAAGUAUGGGUGGUUUAUUAUCCUCUACUAGAAUGGCUACCCGAUCUUCACCAAGGAAAAGUCUUGAUAGCAUGCAAGGUACCAGUUCUAACAGUAAUAGAGAUUCUCCAUGUUUAUCUGGUUUAGAUCCAUUUUCACCAGAACUCUGUCUCUUAGAUCCUACUAGAGCUGAUCUAGAUGGAGAAUUUAUAGAAGACCUUAUCUCGUCCGAUGCAUUUGCACCAUUACUUCGACUGAGUCCACUACCCAAUGAUCGUGAUUAUUAUUUUAAUCUAGAUGAUACAGAAGGUGUAUGUGAUUUGUUUGAUGUACCUCUAAUCAUGUGAGAUAUAUAUUAUAUACCAGAUGUGCCUCUCAUCAGAAUAACAUAAUUAUCUCAUUAUAUUACUCACACAUUUCAAAUGACAAUUUAUUGAUAUUGCACCUCUCUGUCUAUGCUUCUGUUGACAAUUCUUGAGAUUUUAAAUAAAGUUCCAUUUGUUGUGAAGAUCUUGGUCAUCCCAAUAUCAAUUAUUGCCGAUGUUUAGGGGAUGGUGUUAUAUCUCCUGAGACCCAUAUCACUUUUGACACCACAUUGUCGUAACUUCGGUAACAUAUAUUGAAUAAUAUCAUGAAAAUUAAAUCUAUCGCUAUUAAUUAUAAUUCAUGUUCAUAUAAUCAAAGAGAUUGUUAAAUAAUAUGUUACCAACAUUUGGUUCUAUUUUAUUUUGUGUACCCCACUUUAUCCUAAUCUAAAGACACAUGUUUAUUAACCUAACAAUUAAAACCUGUGAUGUUGAACAUUCUGCAAAUGCUUUUGAUUGGUUUCAUUAUCUAAGACAUUUAAUUGGUUGUCUAAUCAUGGUCAAAGGUAUUAUUAUGCUGUCAUGCUCAGAAUACAAUUGGACUUGAUUGUGAUUAUUUUUACAUAUGUAUACAUAUAUUGCCAUCGCCCCGUCCGUCGUCCACAAUUUCUUGUGAACGCUCUAACCCCAAAAGUUAUCAUCCUAUCUUUCUGAAAUAUAUAUGCAUUAUUUAGAUUAGUGAAACGAAGAAGCAUAUUUAAUUUCAAUAAUUUCCAUUAAUAACGUUUAGAGUUAUGGCCCCUGUUUCACUUUGUUGAACCUUGUGAAUGCUUUAAUGCCAAAAAGUUAAAAUCCGAUAUUUGUGAAAUUUAUAUGCAAUAUUUAAAUUAGAGAAACGAAGAAGCCUAUUGAAUUUCAGCAAUUUCCGUUUAUUACUUCUAGAGUUAUGGCCCUUGUUUCACUUUGUUUAACCUUGUGAACACUCUAACCCCAAAAGUUAUCAUCCUAUCUUUCUGAAAUUUAUAUGCAUUAUUUAAAUUAGUCUAACGAAGAAGCCUAUUUAAUUUCAAUAAUUUCCGUUUAUAACGUCUAGAGUUAUGGCCCCUGUUUCACUUUGUUGAACCGUGUAAAUGCUCUAAUGCCAAAAAGUUAACAUCUGAUCUUUGUGAAAUUUAUAUGCAAUAUUUAAAUUAGGGAAACGAAGAAGCGUAUUGAAUUUCAGCAAUUUCCGUUUAUUACUUCUAAAGUUAUGGCCCUUGUUUCACUUUGUUUAACCUUGUGAACCCUCUAACCCCAAAAGUUAUCAUCCUAUCUUUCUGAAAUUUAUAUGCAUUAUUUAAAUUAGUGAAACGAAGAAGCCUAUUGAAUUUCAGCAAUUUCUGUGUAUUACAUGUAGAGUUAUCGCCCUUGUUUUACUUUAUUGAACCUUGUGAAUGCUCUAACGCCAAAAGUUGUCAUCCGAUCUUUCUGAAAUUUAUAUGCAUUAUUUAAAUAAGUGAAACGAAGAAGCUUAAUGAAUUUCAGCAAUUUCUGUUUAUUACGUCUAGAGUUACGGCCUUUGUUUCACUUUAUUGAACUUUGUGAAUCCUCUAACAUCAAAAGUUACCUGCUGAUCUGUAUGAAAUUUACAUGCGUCAUUUAAAUUAGUAAAGAGAAGAAUCCUAUUGAAUUUCAGCAAUUUCCGUUUAUUACUUCUAGAGUUAUUGCCCUUUUUUCACUUUGUUCAUCCGAUAUGUAUGAAAUUUAUAUGCAUCAUUUAAAUUUGUGAAACGAAAAAGCCUGUCAAAUUUUAACAAUUUCUGUAGAUUACUUCCAGAGUUGAGACCCUUGUUUCCAUUUGUAGAACCUUGUGAACCCUCAAACGGCAAAAAUUAUAAUCUGAUCUGUAUGGAACUGUCUUGUAAAGGCCCCCAAUUACCUACAAAGGAAUAAAUAUGCGACAACCCUCGUCGACCGCUUGGACUAUUUAGCUGCUGUGGGCCUAUGUUUCGUUGCCUGGCAACCUAUUUUAAUAUUAGCCCUAGCCAUCAAGUUAACAUGGCUUGUUUUCGCUACACAGUGUUUGAUCACUGGGAAUCGGAAUAAAGACAUUUUCAGAUUCAUUUGAAAUCCAUUCAUUUAUCUCAAGUAAUUUUCAAAUCUUUAUUGUAAUGUGUAAGCUUACUCAUUUCAAAAACUAUUUAUUUGUGGUCGUGAACUGAAGUGAGAGUCUACAUUCUGUAUUUUUAUACGCCCACAUUUUCAUGUGGACGUAUAUUGUCGUCGCCCCUGUCUGUCCGUCCACAAUUAUUUGUGGACACUCUACAGGCGGUGGGACGAUUUACCCAAUACACCGAAUACCACCCGAAUACCCCUCCAAUAUCACCACAUACUACCCAAUACUACAACAUAAUGGUGCCUAAUGAACAUAUUACUAGAUUUUGUUCAAAAAUAGUGAGAUAUAUCGUGAGAAAUGUACUUCGAAUGUGAUCGAAUGUCUGGCUGUUCCAUUUGCCUCCCUAUAUCACCCAACUCAAGCAAAUAAUAACCCAAUACUACCAAAUACUUAUCAAAUACUACUUAAUACUACCCAAUAUUAUAAAAUACAAACCUAAUAUCGUCAAUUAGCAGCACAUCAGUAUAAUUGCAACGAAUAUUCGAUAAUUUACACAAAAUUAAAAUAUUUACGCAGUUAUCUCCCUUUACAAUCGACAAAUAGAUAUUAGAUUGCUACUCAGAUUAAUCACCUUGUUGGGCUUUACAGUUUGUUUCCAAGACAAAAAAGAGUUUUAAAAGAAGUUAAAGAUUUAAAAAUGCAUUAAAAUAAAAUCAGUUUAUAAAAUAAACAUCCAAGUAAAAUAAUAUUUUAGAGGUAGAUUUAAAAAUGUUCAUUUAACGGUCUCGUGCCCUACUCAAAAGUCUUCUUCUACUAUAAUUAUUUCUUCAUCCUGGUGAUUUAAGUAUUAUAACACGCUGUCUACAAGUGCACGCAUUCCUGUAAAAAAUCAUUUGGGUAUAAUAUGUCAGGAAAGCACACAAAUUUAUCUUUAUAUCUAUCUUUUAAUGACUUAUUAACAUGUAUGUCUUUUAAAUGUUUCCGGUUCCAAACCAGUCACCCUUGAAAAAAACCCUCAUGUCCGAAUUUCACAUUCCUCGAAUAUCGCCACUAUCGAACAAUUUCUAUGUAUUCUACGGUAUAUAUCCACAGGUGACAAUGUCGCGGCGAUGUCAUUACCACCUUAAUGAAUAGACACGGUCACCAGUUUCCUCCCACACAUGCAUAUGUUUAUAUUUAUUUUUUCAUGUCAACGAUUAAGUUAUUGCAUAUAUACUUAAUGGACGAUGUUUUAUUUUAAAAUUAACGAAAUUGCAUAUGUUUCUUACAAUGCACAUAUUUAUUACAAAUGUGUAAUACUCUAAUACAUUCCACCUGACUUAACAAUUAAUCAAUGGGGUUAAGAUUGUUGAUUGGGUAAUCAAGUUCUGGUUUAUUUAUAUUAUCAAAGAAACCGACAGAGCUGUAACAGGCCGCAAAUGAUAGUUUUGAUGAACUGAGAAGUGUCGUGUCGAGAAUUACACACUGGAAAGAAACAUGUGCAAUUUGGUUAAUUUUAAAAUAAAACAUCAUGCAGUAAGUAAAUACACAAUAACUUAAUAGUUGAUAUGCAAUUGUUUUGUUAAAGCAUUAAUUUUUAUACGCCCACAUGGAAAUGUGAAACUUCCAAUCAGUAGAAGUUAGUAUUUUUUACUGACGAAACGUUGGAUAAAACGAUGGUUUUUUGAUAUUGUAUUCUAUUAAUUAUUUUAUAUCACAUGGAAAUGUGGUCGUUUAUUGUCGUCGCCCCCGUCCGUCGUCCACAAUUUCUUGUGAACACUCUACAGACUACAUUUAUCAUCUGAUUGUUUUGAAAUUGAUAUAUGUUGUUUGUAUUAGUGAAGAAGCCUAUUUAAUUUCAAUAACUUCCGUUAAUGUCUUCUGGAGUUACGGCCCUUGUUUCACUUUGUUGCGAGCCUAUUGAAUUUCAGCAAUUUCCGUUAACUCAUCUAGAGUUAUGGCCCUUGUUUCACUUUGUUGAAUCUUGUGAACGCUCUAAUGACAACAGUUAUCAUCCGAUCUGUUAGAAAUUGAUAUGCCUCAUUUAAAUUGGUGAAACAAAGAAGCCUAUUGAAUUUCAGCAAUUUCCGUUAAUUACGCCGGCCGCCCGUCGUCUACAGUUUCUUGUGAACACUCUACAAACUACAUUUAUCAUCUGAUUGUUUGGAAAUUGAUAUAUGUUGUUUGCAUUAGUGAGACGAAGAAGCCUAUUUAAUUUCAAUAACUUCCGUUAAUUUCUUCUGGAGUUAUGGCCCGUUAAUUCCAUCUAGACUUAUUGAUAUGCAUCAUUUAAAUUAGUGAAAUGAAGAAGCCUAUUAAAUUUCAGCAAUUUCCGUUAAUUUCUUCUGGAGUUAUGACCCUUGUUUCACUUUGUUGCACCUUGUGAACGCUCUAACGACAAAAAUUAUCAACUGAUCUGUAUGACAUUAUUAUGCAUCAUUUAAAUUAGUAAAACAAAGAAGCCUAUUGAAUUUCAGCAAUUUCCGUUAAUUACAUCUAGAGUUAUGGCCCUUGUUUCACUUUGUUGAAUCUUGUGAACGCUCUAAUGACAACAGUUAUCAUCCGAUCUGUUUGAAAUUGAUAUGCCUCAUUUAAAUUAGUGAAACGAAGAAGCCUAUUCAAUUUCAGCAAUUUCCGUUAAUUACGCUGUGAGUUAUGGCCCUUGUUUCACUUUGUUGUAACUUGUAAAUGCUCUGACGACAAAAGUUAUUAUCCGAUCUGUAUGAAAUUUAUAUGUAUCAUUUAAAUUAGUAAAACGAACAAGCCUAUUGAGUUUCAGCAAAUUUCGGUUGUUUACAUCUAGAGUUAUGGCCCUUGAUUUACUUUGUUGAACUUUGUGAACGUUCGAAUGACAAAAGUUAUCCGAUCUGAAUGAAAUUUAUAUGCAUUAUUUGAAUUAGUAAAACGAAAAAGCCUGUCGAAUUUGAACAAUUUCUGUAGAUUACUUCCAGAGUUACGGCCCUUGUUUUAGUUUUUAGAACCUUGUGAACCCUCAAACAACGAAAAUUAUAAUGUCAUCUGUAUGGAAUUGUCUAUUAAAUUCCCCUAAUUACCUACAAAAGAAUAAAUAUGUGACAACCCUUGUCGACUGCUCGGACGAUUUAGCUGCUGUGGGCGUAUGUAUUGUUGCCUGGCAACCUAUCUUAAAAUAAAUACAAACAAUCGACACUAACUAGGUAAUUUCGGGACUAACAUAAUAGUUCAAUAUUAUUUCAUUAACUCCCUUGCGCGAAGGUAUGUUUAACAGUGAGAUGAAACCGGGGGACCCGAGAAAACCCACCUUGUUUGACAGACGACCUUAUCAAGUGGUAGGAGACAGAUGGGUCAUUUUGGGAAUAAAAUAUGGUAUAUCGUCAUACUUGUUUUUCUUAUUUUAAGUUUGUCGUCUUGGAAACCUACCGCAAAGCCAAAGAAGAUGAUUAAACCGUGUAGCAAUCUAAAAUCAAUUUACCGGUUGUAAAGGGAGAUAACUGGGUAAACAUUUCAAUUUUCUGCAAAAUAUCGAAUAUUCGUUGCAGUAAUUAUACUAAUGUGCUGUUAUUUGACAAUAUUAGGUUGUUAUUUGAUCAUAUUGUGUAGAAUUUGAUGAGUAUUUGGUAGUAUUAGGUUAUUAUAGGCUUGUUUGGUAUAGGGAGGCAAAUAGAACAGCCAGACAUGGUUAUCGCAUUUGAAGUACAUUUCCCACUAUAUAACUCUCUAUUUUUGAAAAAAAUCAAAUAAUAUGUCUAUUUUGGAUCAUUAUGUUGUAAUAUUGGGUAGUAUGUGGUGAUAUUGAGGUGGUAUUGGGUAAAUCGUGCCACCCCUCUACAGGUCACAAUUUUUAUCUGAUUACAACAAAACUUGAAAUAUAGGUUUAUCUCCCUAAGAUCUCGGUUCCUUUCGAUAUUGGCAUGUAUCAGACCGUAACUUCAUGGAUUAUGGCCCCUGAUUGUAUGCAUAAUUGCGUUUUUAGCUUUUGGACCCAAUAGAGGUCACAACUUUUAUCCAAUUUUGUUGAAACUUGAAAUGUAAGUUUAUAACAAGAUCUCAGUUCCUUUUGAUAUUCGCGCAUAUCGGACCGUAACUUCCUGAAUUAUGGCCCCUGAUUGUACGAAAAAUAGCGUUUUUAGCUUGUGGACCCUAUAGUGGUCAUAAUUUUUAUCCAAUUUAAAAAAAACGUUUGAAUAUAUCACCGUUAGACUCUAAGGGUGGUUGAUGAAACUUGAAAUGUAAGUUUAUAACCCAAAGAUCUUGGUUCCUUUCGAUAUUCGCCCCUGAUUGUACGAAAAUUCACGUUUUAGCUUGAGGUCCCUCUAGAUGUCACAAUUAUCAUCCGAUUUAAAAAAUGUUCAAAUAUAUCACCGUUAAAUCAUAAUUUUGGUUGUGUUCGAAUUUCGUAAAAAUCAGACCCAUAUCGCUGGACAAAAUGGCCGCCCCUCAUACACAAUUAGUGUAAACAUCUGGUAUAUCAAAGGUCACAAUUUUGAUCUGAUUUUGAUGAAACUUGAAAUGCAUCUUUAUAACCCAAGGAUCUUGGUUCCUUUCGAUAUUAUGGCAUAUCGGAUAGUAACUUCCUGAAUUAUGGCCCCUGAUUGUAUGAAAAGUCAUGUUUUUAGCUUAUGGUCCCUUUUGAGGUCACAAUUAUUAUCCGAUUUAAGAAAAACCUUCGAAUAUACCACUGUUACACCGUAAUGUUUAUUGAGUUCGAAUUUUGUGAAAAUCGGGCUAAAACUGUCGGACAAAAUGGCCGCCCCCCGUAUGCAAAUAGUGUAUAGCAUCUGGUAUAUCAAGCUUAUGGACCCUCUAGAGGUCACAAUUUUUAUCCGAUUUUGAUGAGAGUUGAAAUACAUGUUUAUAACCCAAAGAUCUUGGUUCCUUUUGAUAUCUGCCACUGCUAAAAGACCCCUACGUGCAAACGAAUCAUUAAAAUGAAAUAAUAAACCACAUGUUAGUCCCAAAAUAACCUAGUUUGUAGCGAGUGUGAGUUAAACCCCAUUUCUCUCUCUCUCUCUCUCUCUCUCUCUUCGAUAUUCGUGCAUAUCGAAUAACUUUCUUGAAUGUACAAAAAAAUCAUGUUUUUAGCUUGCCGUCCAUGUAGUGUAGAGGUCACAAUUUUGAUUCGAUUUAAAAAUACAUAUAAAUAUAUCACCAUUACACACUAAGAUCUUAGUACUUUUUGAUAUCGCGGCCGUAUAUCAGAACGUAACUUCCUGGAUUAUGGCUUCUGAUUGUUCGAAAAAUCGCAUUUUUAGCUUGCGGAUUCUCUAGAGGUCACAAUUUUUUUUUCCGAUUUUAAAAACCGUUUAAAUAUUUCACCAUUCCACCAUAAUGAAGGUUCAAUUCAAAUUUCGGAAAAAGCGAAAUGAAACUGCUCGACAAUAUGGCAGCUCUUUGUACACAAAUUGUGUAAAAGUAUGCAAUACGAAGGUUGUGGACCCUCUAGACACUAGAGAUCCCAUUUUUAUCUGAUUCUGAUGAAACUUAAAACACAUCUUUAUAUCCCAAAGAUCUGUCCCUUUUGAUAUUUGAGCAUUUCAGACCAGAACUUUCUGGAUUAUUGUCCCUGAUUGUACAAAAAAAUCCUGUUUGGUUUUAGCUUGUUCUCUAUCCAUCUCUUGCAAAAUGUGGGCGUAUCCUGCCUGGCAGCCGCUGGUUAAUUAUUUUAUGAUUGCAUUUAUACUACUACUAUAAACCUACAAUCAAAACCUGAUAGACUACAAUUUAUUAAAUCUGACAUCCAUUUAUGUAGACAUUUAAUAAAACUGAUCUGUAAGAUACUAUAACUAGAAAUAAAGGACAAAUAAUAAUAUUACUGACAUUGAAUGAGGUUUUCACAAAGGUCUAUCAAUGUGACAGCAAUUUUUUUGGACCAAGGUUAAAGGAGCUGUCUCAGGUGUAUUUUAGUGGAUCUGCUGGUUAAUUCUGUGUGGAAUACUCAUAGAAACCUGUUUCCUAGCUCCAUGUAGCUAUCUGAAAAUCUUUGAAGUCCCAAAUCCCCUGCUAUUCACAAAUGCCUGCAUAACAAUUUCUAUAUACUGUAUGUAUAGUGCUAAGCUGUUGUUGCAAGUACCAAGUCCAUGGAAUUCCAUAAAUGUGUCAAGUAAACCCUGUUAAACAAAUUUAGCGAUCACUUUCCAUCGAUACCCGGCGAAAUCUAGGACUAUCCCUUUAAAAUCACUUGAGAGUUGAUCUAUUUUUGUAGCAACCUCAAUCUUUGCUUUAUUAUAUACCAGUUUUGAAACUGUUUAUUAUCUGAUGAUUCUAUCAGUUUAUUUUAUGAUAAGACAGUUCUAAAACUUGUAAUAUGAUUUUUGUUUGCCUUAUGUAUUUUUUUUUUAGAAGUUUUCAACUGCCAAAUGAAAGCUGCUUUUAAAACUGUCAUUAUUAUUGUUGCCAAAAAGUUUCCACUCCAAAUAGUCUGAUUCAGUUUGUUACAUAAUUCCCAUCCGUGGGCUUUACGGGUAGAUAUCGUGGAAUAAGCUUUAUUUUGAAGGUUUGAUGUUUAACCCUUAACCGGUCAUUGUCGAUUAUAGUCACCACAACAGCUAAGUGGUCGCGGUCGACCACAGCAAAAACCUUUUUGAUAAGCCAGAUUUAAGUAUUUAGUUUCGUAUUUAAUUGAUAUGGCCACGCAUGCGUGUCAGACAGGAACUUGUCUUGUCAAGGGCAUUGAGAACAACAUGUCUUUGUUCAAGAUUUUUUGACGAAAAAUGUAAUUUAAUGAUGUCGGGGACAUUAAAGACGCUCGAAGUGGUUGAAAUACUUAUGAAUGAUUCUGACUCGGAUUAUAUCGACGACACCGAAUCUGAAGACGAUAUUUCUGAUGAAAAGGACUUAGAAUGAUUUGCAAAUUAUAGAUCAACUUAUCCACUAUUAAAAUGGGUUUGUCUGCCUGUCCGUCUGUCCGCCCGUCACACUUUUUGGGACACAAUAACUCUCUGUCUAAUUGAGCUAGAAUGUUCAAACUUGGUGUAGGUGUCUAUUAGGUCAAUGCCUUGAUGGAAUUUGAAGAUGAACAUUUUCUGCUUAGGGUAAGCAGAGAUAAGCAAUUUGAUCGGUUAAUGCUUUGGGACACGAUAACUUUAGUUCUAAUUAAGUGAGAGUGUUGAAACUUGGUGUAUAGCUUCAUUAUAUCAAUACCUUGACUAAGUUCGCUAAUGAGCAUUUUCUGCUUAGGGUAAGCAGAGUGAUAAGCAAUUUGAUUGGCCGAGACUUUGGAACACAAUAACUCCCCUUCUAAUUGAGGUAGAAUGUUCACACUUGGCGUAGGUGUCUAUUAGGUGAAUGCCUUGAUGGAGUUCGAAGAUGAGAAUUUUCUGCUUAGGGUAAGCAGGGAUAAGCAAUUUGAUUGGUUGAUGCUUUAGGGCACGAUAACUUUAGUUCUAAUUAAGUGAGUGUGAAGACACUUGGUGUAUAGCUUUAUUAUAUCAAUACCUUGACUUAGUUCGAUAAUGAAUAUUUUCUGCUGUCAUGUCAUGGCUGAGUUCAAUGAUUUACAUUGAUCGAUGCUUUGGGACAAGAUAACUUUGAUUCUAUCUGAUAGAGAGUGCUGAAACUUGGUGUAUAGUUUGAUUGCUCGAUACUUUUGGAAAAAAUAAAUGUGCGGUUAAUUAAUAUGUGUCAUCUAUUUUGGGAUUUCUGCGGGGGACAUCAGCCUCACUGUUGGCUUGUUUAUGGUGUCAAGAGUCAAUCACUUAUAAAUUAUCGACAGUAGUCGAUUGAAAUAGGCAUACAAAAUAUUUCACUUUAGCAUUUAUUUAGCCUGACCACUUGACGUCAUGACGUCAAAAUGACAUUGACCAAUUAAGGGUUAAUGACAAAAAAACAAUGUUGACAUUUUUUCUGAGUAGGUCUUCAUAGUAUGGGUGGCUAUAUUUGAGGGUAGCCAUUUUGUGAUAAUAUUCCAACUUAUUUUUUUAUUUUCAUCUUUUUUGUAACGUUAUCGACAUACCAACUGUGAUUUGGCAAUGUAUUAAUAUUGCCAGGGGUCGUGACUAUAUUUCAAUUUUUUUUCCGUCACUUCACGAAGGUAUUUCCAAGAUGGCGACCAUUUUAGGUGGGAAAAUCGGAUGAUGUGCUGAUUUUGAUUAAGUAGUCGUCUUUGGUGUCAAUAUAUAUUUUCAGAGGCAGAUUCCAUUUCUGCCAGUAACAACUGUGUAAAAUGAUCACAUGUUCACCUCAUUUGCAUAUUUCCAAGAUGGGGCCAUUUUUGCGGGAAAAUGGGAUGAUGUGCUGAUAUUGAUCAAGUAGUCGUCUUUGGUGUCAAUAUAUCUUUUUCUGGCGCAGAUUCCAUUUCUCCUGUUUACAACUGUGUAAAAUGUUCAGAGAGAGAAAUAGGGUUUAAUGUCCACUGGACACAAACUAGUUCAUUUUGGGACUAACAUGUGGUCCAGUUUUUACCUUAUCUAAUUAGGUGACAUGAUGUACAAGGAAGUAUGUUUACUCUUCUAGAACACUGAUUAUAAGCAGAUAUAUAUACUCUUCAAAAAAAAGUAGGCUAUAUUCAGAAACAAUACAAAACUGCAGAAAUGCACUGCUGUUUUUAUUAGAAGUAACCAGUGUAUGUUAAUAACAGGCCAAUUGCCAACACAUGAACAGUUCAUAUGGGCGGCUUAUCUGACGGCCCCAUUUCACUCGCAAAGAGAUACGUCAAAAGUGAAAAUGGACUAUUUUGAUUUUUGUCUUAAUAAUGAGUAAUUGCUCCACCAAUCCUCAGACAUUCAGCAAUUCGUCGUGGCAUGCUCCUAAUCAACCGUCCAAUCAUGAUUUGGGGCAAUCUGACCCACUCUUCUUGCAGUGCCACAGCCAAUUCUUGCAGUGUUGUCGGUUGACGUUGACGUCGACAAACGCGUCUCCCGAUCAAAUUAAACGUAACACACUAAAGCAAAGAUACGCUAAACAGUAAAUCUUAUGCAAGAACAGAUAGGAAAGCAAACAUGGAUAGAUAAACCAGCACGCGGCUGUUUUCAUCAACCCUUCCUUGAAGUGUCAAAUUUGACAGUGAACCCCUCCCACAUAUAUUGCGUGUCGAAUGUGCAGUUCAGUGGUUCUGUUGGGGCGAUAAGUUCUUCAUCUGUGAAAAUACUCUCAAAGCAUGUCAAGUGUCCAUGACUAUCACAACCUGCAUAGGUAUUUGCAUUUCAAUAUCACCUACUUUUUUUUGAAGAGUAUACAAGAGUUCACAAAGUAAAUAGAUUUUGUUGAUAAAUUAGAAUCUUCAUUUCAGUGAUGCUGAUUGGCUGAUUUCUUAAUACCAAACUACAUGUCUGUAGAUUUAUAGAUUAAAUCUUUACAUUAUAUAUAAAUAAGACAGUUAUACAUUUUACUUAGCACUAGGAGGGAGGUUACCCUGUAAAUAUGCUGUGUAUUAUUAUUAUAGUUAUGUUCUCUUAUUUAAUUAUGUAAGUGCUGAAUUCUAGGAUUUAAUAGAGGUUAAAAGCACCUGUUUGUUUUUACAUGGUAUACAAUCUUUUGAAAGUUCAUAUUUGUGUAAAUUUUCAUUCAGUAAGUGAAUAAAUCUUACAUAUAAAUAAUU